Long non-coding RNA from Eriocheir sinensis (Chinese mitten crab), 837 nucleotides. RefSeq lists it as uncharacterized. NCBI's taxonomy places the organism in Eukaryota, Metazoa, Arthropoda, Malacostraca, Decapoda, Varunidae. The transcript is spliced from 2 exons. The record is from RefSeq and is a predicted model, not a curated record.
UCUCCUUUCUUUCUCUCUUGCUUUCUUUUUUCCAGUACAUUAGUUUAGUUAGUAGAGAGGGAGCGAGAGAGAGAAGAAUUAACACAGUACCCAACAUUGCAAAACUUUCUCUCCUUUCUUUCUCUCUUGCUUUCUUUUUUUCAGUAUAUUAGUUUAGUUAGCAGAGAGGGAGCGAGAGAGAGAAGAAUUAACACAGUACCCAACAUUGCAAAACUUUCUCUCCUUUCUUUCUCUCUCUUUUUCAGUGUAUCAGUUUACUCUUAAGAUGCACAGGUCUGAGUUACAAGCCCCACGUGUAGUAUCCAGACUUUAUUUUUGAGGUUGAUAUGUGGUACAAACUAUGGUCGUUACACUCGGAGAUGACACGGCAAGGAAACGGAGCAAGAGUAACGACCCCCUGUACGUCCUCUAUGUUACGGUGGACACGGGAAAGGUCGAGGAGGGUGAGGACAUUUCGUAACACAAACUCUGCUGCCCUGAAUCGGAUUUGUCGCAUUACGGUUUGGGUUGUCAUUAGAUUGUCUUCAUCACAUCAACCUGGCUAGCGUGGGGAGGGAAGGAGAGGGGGAGGGAUGCUGUGAAGGGUUAAGCACCACCACAGACACAUGACCCAUAGAAACUCAGGUGUUAGUCUCGCUCCCAGCUUGCAGAGGAAUGACGCUGGUGUGCUGCAAGGGCGCCGUUUUGUGGUUUGGCGUCUUGUAAAUUGGUUCCAUGGCUUCAACUGUGCUUCAAUGACCCUUAGGAAAGCAGGUCAAAUUAUCUUUUUCUUCAUUUAUAGUUGUUCUUUCGACUUGCGAUGAUCAUUCUCCAUCUUGCUCAAUCCUUCCUCUAUUU